ACUAAAUCAAAGAUUCUAAUAUUUUUGUCUUCUAAAUUUUUAGUCAGUUUAGAAGUAAUUCUAACAUACAUAAUUCCCAAGAGAUCCAACAUGGAACACACUUUUUUUGAAAUAUAAAAGAUGAGAAUAUUAAGUACUGAUUAGUUUUCUUAGAAAUAUAUAAUGUAUAAAAGCACACACCUGCACCUUACAUCUUUAAUGUCUACAUGUGCCUGUUAAUUACUUAGUUUGGCUUUAAAAGGGUCUUCUUGAACCAGCAGUCUUGGCACUGACACUACCCUCCCAGGGCGAUUUUAAGGUGCACUCCCUCACAUCUGUCUAGUGUAUUCAGGAUAAAUAAUCCUGAAGUGUGCUCCCCAAUUAAGUCGAAGCUGGUUAAUAGGGAAGGGGGACUCUUAUCCUUACCAAUUGGACUAAUCCUGUUAGGUGUAUUUGGAUAAUUAUUAGUCAAAUGCCUAUCUAGUAGUCGAAGCCAAAAAACAAAUGUUAAUGCUAGUAAACUAGGCAGUAGAUCAAA
Molecule: unclassified non-coding RNA, 517 nt
Filed under: Hevea brasiliensis (rubber tree)
Lineage: Eukaryota; Viridiplantae; Streptophyta; Magnoliopsida; Malpighiales; Euphorbiaceae
Source: RNAcentral